RNAcentral lists this ribosomal RNA (425 nucleotides) under uncultured bacterium. Its description in RNAcentral is "partial 16S ribosomal RNA". It matches the Rfam family "Bacterial small subunit ribosomal RNA", at positions 354 to 796 of the family's 1533-position model. The record is from RNAcentral.
GUGGGGAAUAUUGGACAAUGGGCGCAAGCCUGAUCCAGCAAUGCCGCGUGGGUGAAGAAGGUCUUCGGAUCGUAAAGCCCUUUCGACAGGGACGAUGAUGACGGUACCUGUAGAAGAAGCCCCGGCUAACUUCGUGCCAGCAGCCGCGGUAAUACGAAGGGGGCUAGCGUUACUCGGAAUUACUGGGCGUAAAGGGCGCGUAGGCGGCUCUGUUAGUCAGGCGUGAAAUUCCUGGGCUUAACCUGGGGACUGCGCUUGAUACUGCAGGGCUUGAGGCCGAGAGAGGGUGGUGGAAUUCACAGUGUAGAGGUGAAAUUCGUAGAUAUUGGGAAGAACACCGGUGGCGAAGGCGACCACCUGGCUCGGUUCUGACGCUGAGGCGCGACAGCGUGGGGAGCAAACAGGAUUAGAAACCCUUGUAGUCC